This 634-nucleotide ribosomal RNA is filed under the name Mycobacterium sp. Se3Ps_2525. Its description in RNAcentral is "bacterial SSU rRNA". It matches the Rfam family "Bacterial small subunit ribosomal RNA", at positions 381 to 1027 of the family's 1533-position model. RNAcentral also lists the same sequence under 2 other names. Lineage: Bacteria; Bacillati; Actinomycetota; Actinomycetes; Mycobacteriales; Mycobacteriaceae. The record is from RNAcentral.
GCCUGAUGCAGCGACGCCGCGUGAGGGAUGACGGCCUUCGGGUUGUAAACCUCUUUCAGCAGGGACGAAGCGCAAGUGACGGUACCUGUAGAAGAAGGACCGGCCAACUACGUGCCAGCAGCCGCGGUAAUACGUAGGGUCCGAGCGUUGUCCGGAAUUACUGGGCGUAAAGAGCUCGUAGGUGGUUUGUCGCGUUGUUCGUGAAAACUCACAGCUUAACUGUGGGCGUGCGGGCGAUACGGGCAGACUUGAGUACUGCAGGGGAGACUGGAAUUCCUGGUGUAGCGGUGGAAUGCGCAGAUAUCAGGAGGAACACCGGUGGCGAAGGCGGGUCUCUGGGCAGUAACUGACGCUGAGGAGCGAAAGCGUGGGGAGCGAACAGGAUUAGAUACCCUGGUAGUCCACGCCGUAAACGGUGGGUACUAGGUGUGGGUUUCCUUCCUUGGGAUCCGUGCCGUAGCUAACGCAUUAAGUACCCCGCCUGGGGAGUACGGCCGCAAGGCUAAAACUCAAAGAAAUUGACGGGGGCCCGCACAAGCGGCGGAGCAUGUGGAUUAAUUCGAUGCAACGCGAAGAACCUUACCUGGGUUUGACAUGCACAGGACGUGCCUAGAGAUAGGUAUUCCCUUGUGGC